Molecule: ribosomal RNA, 98 nt
Filed under: Bacteroidales bacterium
Lineage: Bacteria; Pseudomonadati; Bacteroidota; Bacteroidia; Bacteroidales
Source: RNAcentral
GGUGAGGAUCCACCUCUUCCCAUUCCGAACAGAGCAGUUAAGCUCACCAUCGCCGAUGGUACUGACCCACCAGUUGGGAGAGUAGGUAGCCGCCGUUU